AGUGAACGCUGGCGGUAGGCCUAACACAUGCAAGUCGAACGGCAGCACAGUAAGAGCUUGCUCUUACGGGUGGCGAGUGGCGGACGGGUGAGGAAUACAUCGGAAUCUACUUUUUCGUGGGGGAUAACGUAGGGAAACUUACGCUAAUACCGCAUACGACCUACGGGUGAAAGCAGGGGAUCUUCGGACCUUGCGCGAUUGAAUGAGCCGAUGUCGGAUUAGCUAGUUGGCGGGGUAAAGGCCCACCAAGGCGACGAUCCGUAGCUGGUCUGAGAGGAUGAUCAGCCACCCUGGAACUGAGACACGGUCCCGACUCCUACGGGAGGCAGCAGUGGGGAAUAUUGGGCAAUGGGCGCAAGCCUGAUCCAGCCAUACCGCGUGGGUGAAGAAGGCCUUCGGGUUGUAAAGCCCUUUUGUUGGGAAAGAAAAGCAGCAGGUUAAUACCCCGCUGUUCUGACGGUACCCAAAGAAUAAGCACCGGCUAACUUCGUG
Molecule: ribosomal RNA, 492 nt
Filed under: uncultured bacterium
Lineage: Bacteria
Description: partial 16S ribosomal RNA
Rfam family: Bacterial small subunit ribosomal RNA
Source: RNAcentral